Molecule: long non-coding RNA, 1699 nt
Filed under: Solanum tuberosum (potato)
Lineage: Eukaryota; Viridiplantae; Streptophyta; Magnoliopsida; Solanales; Solanaceae
Description: long non-coding RNA (STUB_LNC009676)
Source: RNAcentral
UUCUUCUAGGAUGGUAUAUUAUUUAAGGCAGGUGGUUUUGCAGGGCUACCUAUUAUCCUCGAGUCCAAAGUAGUAGAGGCAGAUAUUCAAGCAUUCCCAGGAAUUCACAGGCUUUUCAAAUCUCACCAGUUUGAAUGGAUGAACAACAUGCUAGGUGAGUAUGCACGCCACCUAACUAGAGAGGCUUACGCCUCAUAUGCAACGAACCUGAUGAAUUUUCUGCCGACACUGAACAAAAAAAGAAAAGGCAGAAAGAUGGUGCAGCUACAUAGGGAACCCUAGAAGUUGUGAGUGUGCAGGGGCAAUCCAUUGAUAUAUCUGAAACCAAAGUAAAUAGGAUGCUACAUGGCCCAGAGUAUAGAACACAUGUGUCAGUGGGGUUAUUUGAAGGUCGGCACCAGACAGUGACUAGUGAGACCGAGAUGGAUAAUCCUAGCUCGCGGGAAUGUUUCAUGCGAUGGAUUUUUGGCCAGAUUGCGAUAGAGGGAGAGACUGCAUCAUGGGUAGCCAAUGCAGAGGUGCAAAUUACGAAGGCAUCCCUUUUAUUUCCUUCCAAGGUCUGGUGGGCAUUUUUCCGUGCACAGUUGCUAGCCACUGCUAAUGAUAACACUUUAUCACCGUCAUUUGCCUCCUUGGUAGCCUGCCUCAUUGUUGUUUACCCAUUGAAUGUGGUUCGGAUAAUUGCCACAAUAAUGCGAGACAAAACACUGAAUGAGAGAGAAGGUUUGUCGUUUCCCUGUAUAAUAGGGAAACUCUAUUUGCAGGCAAAUAUGCCACCACAUAAAUUAGUGGACAAAUGGAUAGAAGCCUCCAAGGUUACCGUAACAUCAAAUAUAAAAUAUUUUUCGAACCAUCUAGGCCAAACCAAUAGGACCAGUGGUAGUUGUUCCACAUGUUCCAAUUUGAGAUACCGAGAACUGAGGGAGGAAGUGAGCUUGGUGAUUCUUCACAGCCAGCUGUAGGAACACCACCACCACCAGCCUCAUCUUCACAGGCUACAGGUACCUUCGUGUCUAUACCCACUUUAAUUUUGGAGCGGUUGGUUGCAGAUUAGAGUCCGACUCGGUCCAUAGUCGACCAAAUAGUGCUCAAACUACCUCAGGUAGUUUAGAGAGAUUUGUUGGUUGCACAAAAGCCAUUGAGGGAUAAAAUGAGGCAGGAGCUCGUAGUGCUGAAGAAUCGGAUGGAUGAUUUAGAAGCACAUGUGAACAGUCAACUACAGGCUUUUCACAUGUCAACUACAGUCUGAAGAAGAAGAUAGUGAGUCUGGGACAGUCAGGAGUCUGAUGAUGAGUCCCGAGCAUCUACGGAUUCACCUCAACCAUAAGAGGGUGAGGGGGAGGAAAAUGAGGUCCGGCAGGAUGAUGUUGAUUGUAUAUCAGGGGUAUCGAUGGUGAAAUGUGUUCACCAGUAAAAAUUAGACCUACUAGUGUGGCAACAGACUACUGAGUUCUUUUACCAGAUGUGGACCGUGCCUCGAUUAGAGGGGUUCUUCUAGGAUGGUAUAUUAUUUAAGGCAGGUGGUUUUGCAGGACGACCUAUUAUCCUCGAGUCCAAAGUAGUAGAGGCAGAUAUUCAAGCAUUCCCGGAAAUUCACAGUCUUUUCAAAUCUCACCAGUUUGAAUGGAUGAACAACAUGCUAGGUGAGUAUGCACGCCACCUAACUAGAGAGGCUUACGCCUCAUAUGCAACGAACCUG